CUUUCUUUCAAAGCAAGAAGUUGUAGAAUGGCUUUCAGGUCUUCCUCUCUGCAGCCCUUAGAGGAGCUUCUAGUCAUGCUUGUCCCUGUCUCCUAUGGAUUCCUUCCUCUUAUUUUGCUUGUCUUUGUCUCAGAAGGAGAGAGGGCAAUGGAGUGGAGGAAGGCAUUGCUGUGGUAUGUGGAGAAAUGGAUCGUCAUAAACUCUUGUAUGACAUGGAUGUGAUUAUGCAGAAGAGAACAUAUUUAUCUUGCUGAGCAUUUCUCCCUUAGGGGGAUUAUCAAACUACUUGGAAAGCACUGUAGAGUAAAAUCAUCAGUAAGAGGAGGUACAAAGAGAAAAUUUGAGAGGUAAGUCAAUCAGGGAGUAUUUGUUGUUCCUCUGUGUCAC
Molecule: long non-coding RNA, 387 nt
Filed under: Fukomys damarensis (Damara mole-rat)
Lineage: Eukaryota; Metazoa; Chordata; Mammalia; Rodentia; Bathyergidae
Description: lncRNA (ENSFDAG00000023766.1)
Source: RNAcentral